This 254-nucleotide ribosomal RNA is filed under the name uncultured bacterium. RNAcentral's name for it is "partial 16S ribosomal RNA". It matches the Rfam family "Bacterial small subunit ribosomal RNA", at positions 524 to 776 of the family's 1533-position model. The record is from RNAcentral.
UACGUAGGGGGCAAGCGUUGUCCGGAUUUAUUGGGCGUAAAGAGCGUGUAGGCGGCCAUGCAGGUCCGUUGUGAAAACUCGAGGCUCAACCUCGAGACGCCGGUGGAAACCGUGUGGCUAGAGUCCGGAAGAGGAGAGUGGAAUUCCUGGUGUAGCGGUGAAAUGCGUAGAUAUCUGGAGGAACACCGGUGGCGAAGGCGGCAUCCUGGACCAACACUGACGCUGAGUGAGCGAAAGCCAGGGGAGCAAACGGG